Molecule: long non-coding RNA, 1115 nt
Organism: Anguilla anguilla (European eel)
Lineage: Eukaryota; Metazoa; Chordata; Actinopteri; Anguilliformes; Anguillidae
Exons: 3
Source: RefSeq, a predicted model, not a curated record
AAUUCUGCAGCUGUCGGCGGCAUGCUGUGUGAUUCAGCGAACAUUGGAAAUUCUUAACAUGACGCUCAUGCUUCUGGACAGAUUGAAUGAUUCACUUCAAGAAGCUCUGACGUGUAGCACAUGCAUGGCAGCCAUUUUACAGCAGGAGGAGAGAUGGAGGAAGAAAGGUCUCAGAGUUUAAAAUUAGAGGCACAGCAAAGAGGAAAGAAGGAUAUGAAAAAAGAAUGCAGAUCAGAUACAGGAAUGAUGCAGAGGAUAUACAGACCCAGACAGAGAACUGGACAAGCAUGUGGAAUUCAGUGACCCCACUUUAGAGAACCCAGGGAGCACCAUCCAGAGAUUCUGACUGUCCCGGCUGCAGAGACGUGAUGUCCACUCACUGUCGAAGAAGGAAACACGGCCUGGUCAGACGCUAGCGCCAGCAUUCCUCAGAUUACAGAAACCUCAUUUCCGCCCUGCAUAAACACGGCAGCCCCGCUGAGGACUACAAUGCUGUUAAAAUUGCUCUUCAGAACAUAACUAUGAUUGAUGAGUGCCGCUGUGCGUCACGGGCAUUUCCACCGUGCCCUCGUCUCAUACGCCGGUUGUUCGGCGUGGCCAGAGAUGAGCGGUGUCAGCAGAACGCAGGGCGUGCUUCGGGAAGUUUUUGGUUCCAGAGCGGGUUUGACCGGAAUAGUCUAUGUGAGGCACACCCUCCCGCUUCCCACAGCGUGCGGCCCUGAGGAUCGUUCUGUUCUCUCGGCUGAAACCCUGAUGCGUGGCUUUGGGGCGCGUUCGCUUCUGCGUGGACCGCUCGGUUUCUCCCCCCUUUCAUGUUCCGGAAACAGCAUUUCCCGCUGAACUCUCGCCCGCGCUGCUGAAGAGCUCGGCGCGAUCGCCCCCAUCAGAGAGGACGGGGCCUCCCUCUCGCCCCGUGCCUAGGAGGCUCUGAUACUCUGCCAGGGGCAGGGAGAGGUCGGGGCAGGAUGUGAGGAGGUGAAAUACGCGGCGACGCCUUCAUGCUUUGACAUUCACUUCACAGAAAACACUCCUCCCAACUACAAUGAGUUUAUAAAGGAGUCUAUUAAUGUUUCCUCAAGAUCCCAGAUUCGUAAGAGCGGAGUCGACAGUAGAGA